Chelonia mydas (Green sea turtle) is the source of this 171-nucleotide long non-coding RNA. RefSeq lists it as uncharacterized. NCBI's taxonomy places the organism in Eukaryota, Metazoa, Chordata, Testudines, Cheloniidae. The record is from RefSeq and is a predicted model, not a curated record. The transcript is spliced from 3 exons.
CUAGCCCUGGAGUGGGAAGGGCUAGCUGCCUGGGAGCAAGAUAAUGUCACACCCCCGCUGAGCCCCAGACUCUAAGCCUGCUGAGGCUGCUGCGGGAAAAUAAAGAAGUCACUGCACCACUUUUUCGUCUUUCACAACACACAUUCCCCAAACAACAGCUGAGAAGAAAAA